AACCUACCUUCCAGAGGGGGACGAAAGUUGGAAACGACUGCUAAUACCGCAUACGAUCUAACCUCGGCAUCGAGGAUGGAUGAAAGGUGGCCUCUAUUUAUAAGCUAUCACUGAAGGAGGGGAUUGCGUCUGAUUAGCUAGUUGGAGGGGUAACGGCCCACCAAGGCGAUGAUCAGUAGCCGGUCUGAGAGGAUGAACGGCCACAUUGGGACUGAGACACGGCCCAG
RNAcentral lists this ribosomal RNA (227 nucleotides) under uncultured bacterium. Its description in RNAcentral is "partial 16S ribosomal RNA". It matches the Rfam family "Bacterial small subunit ribosomal RNA", at positions 123 to 334 of the family's 1533-position model. The record is from RNAcentral.